UACGUAGGGUGCAAGCGUUGUCCGGAAUUAUUGGGCGUAAAGAGCUCGUAGGCGGUUUGUUGCGUCGGCUGUGAAAUCCCGAGGCUCAACCUCGGGUCUGCAGUCGAUACGAGCAAACUAGAGUGUUGCAGGGGAGACUGGAAUUCCUGGUGUAGCGGUGAAAUGCGCAGAUAUCAGGAGGAACACCGGUGGCGAGGGCGGGAUCCUGGGCCAGUACUGACGCUGAGGAGCGAAAGCGUGGGGAGCAAACAGG
Molecule: ribosomal RNA, 253 nt
Filed under: uncultured bacterium
Lineage: Bacteria
Description: partial 16S ribosomal RNA
Rfam family: Bacterial small subunit ribosomal RNA
Source: RNAcentral